RNAcentral lists this RNase MRP RNA (250 nucleotides) under Polymyxa betae. It matches the Rfam family "RNase MRP". Rfam says of the family: RNase MRP is an enzymatically active ribonucleoprotein with two distinct roles in eukaryotes. In mitochondria it plays a direct role in the initiation of mitochondrial DNA replication. Lineage: Eukaryota; Endomyxa; Phytomyxea; Plasmodiophorida; Plasmodiophoridae. The record is from RNAcentral.
AUAUAUUAUAGAGACUCGCUUAUGGACAUCGUCAAACGGACUCUCAUUCAGGGAGUCGUCAUCUUGUCUGUGGAAAAGUCCCCGGAUCAUGAGGCAGAAAUGCCACUCGGCAAUCGAGUACAUGAGCAGAUCGGCUGCCUUCGUAGCAAAGAUAUGAGCUCUCGGCGGGCCCUGCGCAUCGUUCAUCAUAGCAAAGUUAUGCGAGUACCUAUUUGAUAGGUUACAGAACGGGGCUUACUCCUAUAAUAUA